UUCCGGUUGAUCCUGCCGGACCUGACUGCUAUCGGAUUGAUACUAAGCCAUGCGAGUCUUUGCAGUAAUGCAAGGCAUACGGCUCAGUAACACGUAGUCAACUUACCCUAUGGACGAGGAUAAUCUCGGGAAACUGAGCAUAAUACUCGAUAGAUCAUAAUGCCUGGAAUGGUUUAUGGUUAAAAUGAUUCGUCGCCAUAGGAUGGGACUGCGGCCUAUCAGCUUGUUGGUGAGGUAAUGGCCCACCAAGGCGAUUACAGGUACGGGCUCUGAGAGGAGAAGCCCGGAGAUGGGUACUGAGACAAGGACCCAGGCCCUAUGGGGCGCAGCAGGCGAGAAAACUUUGCAAUGUGCGAAAGCACGACAAGGUUAAUCCGAGUGAUUUCUGCUAAAGAAAUCUUUUGCAAGUCAUAAAACCACUAGUGAAUAAGGGGUGGGCAAGUUCUGGUGUCAGCCGCCGCGGUAAAACCAGCACCUCAAGUGGUCAGGAGGAUUAUUGGGCCUAAAGCAUCCGUAGCCGGCUCUGUAAGUUUUCGGUUAAAUCCAUGUGCUCAACGCAUGGGCUGCCGAAAAUACUGCAUAGCUAGGGAGUGGGAGAGGUAGACGGUACUCGGUAGGAAGGGGUAAAAUCCUUUGAUCUAUCGAUGACCACCUGUGGCGAAGGCGGUCUACCAGAACACGUUCGACGGUGAGGGAUGAAAGCUGGGGGAGCAAACCGGAUUAGAUACCCGGGUAGUCCCAGCUGUAAACGAUGCAGACUCGAUGAUGCAUUGGCAUAUAGCCAGUGCAGUGUCGCAGGGAAGCCGUUAAGUCUGCCGCCUGGGAAGUACGUACGCAAGUAUGAAACUUAAAGGAAUUGGCGGGGGAGCACCACAAGGGGUGAAGCCUGCGGUUCAAUUGGAUUCAACGCCGG
This 913-nucleotide ribosomal RNA is filed under the name uncultured marine archaeon. RNAcentral describes it as "bacterial SSU rRNA". It matches the Rfam family "Archaeal small subunit ribosomal RNA", at positions 1 to 921 of the family's 1478-position model. The record is from RNAcentral.